Molecule: transfer RNA, 74 nt
Filed under: Chryseobacterium balustinum
Lineage: Bacteria; Pseudomonadati; Bacteroidota; Flavobacteriia; Flavobacteriales; Weeksellaceae
Also listed under: 7 other names
Description: tRNA-OTHER
Rfam family: tRNA
About the family: Transfer RNA (tRNA) molecules are approximately 80 nucleotides in length. Their secondary structure includes four short double-helical elements and three loops (D, anti-codon, and T loops).
Source: RNAcentral
GAGUACAUAGUUCUAAUUGGAAGAACACUGACUUCACUGAUUAGAGGUUGCGGGUUCGACUCCCGCUGUACUCC